Long non-coding RNA from Branchiostoma belcheri (Belcher's lancelet), 788 nucleotides. RefSeq lists it as uncharacterized. The transcript is spliced from 2 exons. NCBI's taxonomy places the organism in Eukaryota, Metazoa, Chordata, Leptocardii, Amphioxiformes, Branchiostomatidae. The record is from RefSeq and is a predicted model, not a curated record.
AUGAACUUUCUCUCUGGAGCCGACAACCCGAAGCUAAGGUAAAGCUCCCGGCCAACCAACUGUGGACAGACUUCCGAAACAUCUUUCCAGAAAGUACUGCUUCUUCCACGUCCCGACAUUGUUUUCCUGGAACACAUAAUUUCAUGAUUCAGAGAGCACAGGCAGAGAGACAGGAGUUUCCAGUUCAUAACUGGUAGAAGGAGGAUUGAGCAGAGAUGAAGGAGCAGAGACGAAGCGUGUAGUCCAGAGAUGUUGGAGCACAAGGUUGAGAAGAAGCUCUACGUCAUGACAAGAGAAAGGAAAGUCAUCCAGCAGUGUGUCAUGUGGACCUUUAGAUGAAGAAGAAGGAGGAGAAGAAAUGUUGGAAGAGAGGGGAUGGAAAGCAGGCAAAGCUGUAGGAGUACUGUAGGAAAGGUCCUUAUGUACAAAGGAAGCCGACUUGUCAGAGCAAACAGAGUCAACAGUAUCAGAAGUUACUGGCUCUCCAGUAGAACCAUAUGUGUGGUCACAUGUUUCAUUAUUAUGCUUUUCCGUCACAGAUGUUACAGAAUAUGUAUGAUCAAAAUCAAAACCACUGGACUCGUGUACAGGUUUGAAAACAUCAAACCAGUGCUGUAGGAUAUCAGGAUGAGAACGUAGUGAAGCAAACUGUUGUUCGAUAACAAUAUCUCUCUGUGUCUGAUGAGACUUAGGAACUCUACAUGCAAACUGGUGACAUGACUCAAAAUGAUGUGUUAAAGUAGAAACAAAAACAUUACAGGACUCUCGAACUGAAGUAUUGCUCUCAA